RNAcentral lists this unclassified non-coding RNA (379 nucleotides) under soil metagenome. RNAcentral describes it as "partial contains 5.8S ribosomal RNA, internal transcribed spacer 2, and large subunit ribosomal RNA". The stretch from base 1 to 120 matches the Rfam family "5.8S ribosomal RNA", at positions 35 to 154 of the family's 154-position model. The record is from RNAcentral.
GAUGAAGAACGUAGCGAAAUGCGAUAAGUAAUGUGAAUUGCAGAAUUCAGUGAAUCAUCGAAUCUUUGAACGCACCUUGCACCCUUUGGCAUUCUGAAGGGUAUGCUCGUUUGAGUGUCAUUGUACUCUCACACUCCCGAUCUUUGCAUUGGGAGCAGUGGACUUGGGUUUGCUGCUUCACCGUCGCUUACCUCAAAUAGGUUAGUGCAACUCUUGGUUGGACAUAGUACGGCGUGAUAAGUGUUCUUCGCCGGUGCCUCGCAAAGAGGGUGGCCGAUCGGGAUGUUGUGCUCCAAACCGUCUUCGGACAAUCUCUGACGACUUGACCUCAAAUCGAGUAAGACUACCCGCUGAACUUAAGCAUAUCAAUAAGCGGAGG